CAGCAAGAGAAGACAGCCUCCUAACAACACGAGGAGGAACUUCACAAUCACAGGGUGACUGGAUUCCUUGCUGGACACCUACCCAUCCUCGCCUCACGUGCAUUCAUGCUGCUGAAUAGGUUACAUCUCUUUUUUGACAUUUGGCGAGUCUUCAUGGCUAACAGUGAUGAGCUAAUGAUUAUCGAGAGAUGCUGUACAACUUAAAGACACCUGCUUCCACCCAAAGAAGGUAACUCUAUACUAAUAAUAGCACAUUCCUGCAUGAAUU
Molecule: long non-coding RNA, 268 nt
Organism: Mustela erminea (ermine)
Lineage: Eukaryota; Metazoa; Chordata; Mammalia; Carnivora; Mustelidae
Exons: 3
Source: RefSeq, a predicted model, not a curated record